GACGAACGCUGGCGGCGUGCUUAACACAUGCAAGUCGAACGGAAAGGCCCUGCUUUUGUGGGGUGCUCGAGUGGCGAACGGGUGAGUAACACGUGAGUAACCUGCCCUUGACUUUGGGAUAACUUCAGGAAACUGGGGCUAAUACCGGAUAGGAGCUCCUGCGGCAUGGUGGGGGUUGGAAAGUUUCGGCGGUUGGGGAUGGACUCGCGGCUUAUCAGCUUGUUGGUGGGGUAGUGGCUUACCAAGGCUUUGACGGGUAGCCGGCCUGGGAGGGUGACCGGCCACAUUGGGACUGAGAUACGGCCCAGACUCCAACGGGAGGCAGCAGUGGCGAAUAUUGCACAAUGGGCGGAAGCCUGAUGCAGCAACGCCGCGUGCGGGAUGACGGCCUUCGGGUUGUAAACCGCUUUCGCCUGAGACGGAGCGUGAGUGACGGUAAUGUGUAAAGAAGCACCGGCUAACUACGUG
This 468-nucleotide ribosomal RNA is filed under the name uncultured bacterium. RNAcentral's name for it is "partial 16S ribosomal RNA". It matches the Rfam family "Bacterial small subunit ribosomal RNA", at positions 28 to 507 of the family's 1533-position model. The record is from RNAcentral.